RNAcentral lists this ribosomal RNA (445 nucleotides) under uncultured bacterium. Its description in RNAcentral is "partial 16S ribosomal RNA". It matches the Rfam family "Bacterial small subunit ribosomal RNA", at positions 354 to 796 of the family's 1533-position model. The record is from RNAcentral.
GUGAGGAAUAUUGGUCAAUGGACGAGAGUCUGAACCAGCCAAGUCGCGUGAAGGAAGACGGUUCUAUGAAUUGUAAACUUCUUUUGUGCAGGAAUAAAGUACGGUACGUGUACCGUUUUGUAUGUACUCUGCGAAUAAGGAUCGGCUAACUCCGUGCCAGCAGCCGCGGUAAUACGGAGGAUCCAAGCGUUAUCCGGAUUUAUUGGGUUUAAAGGGUGCGCAGGCGGGUUGAUAAGUCAGCGGUGAAAGUUUGCAGCUUAACUGUAAAAUUGCCGUUGAAACUGUCGAUCUUGAGUGCAAAUGAGGUAAGCGGAAUGUGUUGUGUAGCGGUGAAAUGCUUAGAUAUAACACAGAACACCGAUUGCGAAGGCAGCUUACUGGGAUGCAACUGACGCUCAUGCACGAAAGCGUGGGGAUCAAACAGGAUUAGAAACCCUUGUAGUCC